Molecule: long non-coding RNA, 1211 nt
Filed under: Heterocephalus glaber (naked mole-rat)
Lineage: Eukaryota; Metazoa; Chordata; Mammalia; Rodentia; Bathyergidae
Description: lncRNA (ENSHGLG00100041841.1)
Source: RNAcentral
AGCAGGUAGUCUCUGCCCACUGGAUAUGCACUAAGAAGAGAGAUCUUGGGAGCUACCAGGGCCAUCUUUGAAUCACGAAAGGUGCUUCCACCUCCAAGGCCUGGGAGCUGGAGCCCCAGAAGAAAAGAGAGAAAUGGGGUGUCAGAUCAGCUCACAGCCCAAAAUUAUCCAGUUACUGGAGCCAAUCAAUGUCCUCAUCUGUAAAAACCCACUUGAGCUAAGAUUCCUUAUACUUACAACCUCCAGGCAGAGGGAGAUCUGAGAGCAGAGGUCUGGCUUCAAAACAGGAUGGGUUGGAGAGUAGGACCUGAGCCAGAGCCCUGAAAGGAAGGGGAGAGUACCUGGGGUGGGAGCUGAGAGGCUGUAGACUAAUAGCUAACCUGCCAGGCUUUCCUCCUGUGCCAGGCAUUGUUCGAGAUCAGUGUUAUUAUUCCCAUUUUGUAGAGAAGUAACCAAAGCACAAGGGGCAGGGGCAGGUGGCUAGAAAACAUGCAGGUGGGACUCAACUCCAGGCAAGUGAACUCCACAGCCUGGCCACUGAGGCCACACUGGGCAUUGGCAGAGAAUUGGGGCAAUCAGGUGGCCAGUGAGACCAAAGGUCACUGAGAGGUGAGGGGGAUGAAGGCUGGGAAGACACUGGAUUUGAUGACCAAAGGUCACCAGAGGCCCUAGGGGUGGUGCUUCAGAGAAGGUUGGGGUGGAAGCCAAAUUGUAAGGUGUGAAUGGGAGCCAGGUCAGCAUGGGAACCAGGGAGUGGUGGGAGGCAGCUGGCGAAGACCCUCCAUCCUGUGCAUUCGUCUCAGAAAUGAGGGCAGCAGGUGUCAGCCACAGGAAUCAACACAGCAGGACGCAGCCUGGUAUUUUUUCUUUUUGCAUGUUGGUGAUACUUGCAGGGGUUUGUAAGGCAAGAAAAUGGAGAGAGGGGAGAGUAGGCCCAAAGCCCCCCACCCCUCAAUGUGAACCUGAGACAGAGAAGUCCACAGCAGCCAGGAGAGGGGACAGUGUGAGAACUUGGGGGGGCGGCGGUGCAGGUAGAGACAACAGCUCUUCCCUCCAGUGAAGGGAAGCAGAGGGGACAGGGAAAGGUGUGAGCCAGUUAGAUGGCAAGGAGCAUAGGCAUCCAGAAAAGCUGGAGGCCAGAGUGCUGAGGAGGUGGCACUUGGGACAAUGGCCUUUCAAGAAACCCUUAAAUACUGUUUUACUUUUUUUUU